UGGAGAAGAUCUUUUUUAUAUUCAGCCAUGCCAAUUGACCUUCUACCCUCUCCAUAGCCAAAGGAAUCCCCAAAUUUCCACAGAAAGGCAUUUUUAUAUGAAGAAGCUCAUCCCUGUGUACCUUUCUCUUGAAUGCCUACUAUGAGUCACUCAGCAAGAGAGGCACCCAGCUCCCUCAGGGUCUGCGGGUCCUCAGAGGCAUUCAUACUGAGCUUACAUCCCCCAGAAUCCAGUGAGGAUUUGAUCUCCAUCAGCAAAGCCGAGGUUGAUCUCAGGUCUCUCAUCCUCCACCCUGCACUCAGGCAACAAAAGCAUUCUAUCAGAUGCUGUAUUACACAGCUCUGAUGUGCCGGGCUGGUCCUGGGUGGCAAGGAUACAUUU
Molecule: non-coding RNA, 381 nt
Filed under: Pongo abelii (Sumatran orangutan)
Lineage: Eukaryota; Metazoa; Chordata; Mammalia; Primates; Hominidae
Source: RNAcentral